Molecule: non-coding RNA, 3590 nt
Organism: Meleagris gallopavo (turkey)
Lineage: Eukaryota; Metazoa; Chordata; Aves; Galliformes; Phasianidae
Source: RefSeq, a predicted model, not a curated record
UUUAAUAUUAAAUGUUACAAGGAAAACUUCCCAGGCAACAGACCAAGUUGAGAUUAACAAGAUCGUUUUUAAGAGGCAUUUACAUUUAUAAUGUGAAUUUUUAAAACCAAAUAAUAAAAAACACUUUGACCAAUCUUUCCAUUAUGGCCACAAUCUACAUUUAGACCGAAUUAAAUAAAAGGCAGGAAGGCUGCCAGCAACCAGGCCAGGGGCAUGCAAAUGUCCAGUUCUGCAGUACACUGAUAGCAGCCAGAGAGCUGAGUUUAAAAGCACCACUUCAAAGCUUUUCUAGGAAAUAAUUGAACACUUAAUGAUUUUAAAGUUUCAUGACAGCUCUAAUGCCAAAUUGUGGUUUAAUUUAAUAUAUUUAGCUAAUGAUCAACAUGUAUGUCUGGAAGGUGCUUCUCUGUAUACGUGUAUUUGUGGCGCUGCUGCAGAGAUGUCUGGAACUAGAGAUGUGGUGGGACAGAGGGCUUGUCCCAGAACGAUGGGAUGGGCUGGAUAGGUGGGCUUCUCUGAUAAGGUGAGAAGUGCCGCUUUGCUAACAGAGUUAGUUUGACCUGUGUUAUUUGGUACCAACUGGUUACGCUUCCAAGUGAACUGAGAACAUGUCCUCAAAACACAGCAGAAGACCCAGACUUGCCUAUGGCAAAGAAGGAGCAGCUUCUGCUAAAGCAUUGUACAGUGACUUUGCUGCCUCUGCGUAAUGUAAGCUGGCUGUUGCCUCUCGGUGGAGGGUUCUCCAACAGCUAAAUUGAGAUCCAUAGUGACAUCCACAGACUGCUCCAGCAAACUGUCUCUUACGCAGCUCUGAGGUCACUUCUCCUCUCCCACCCACUGCCUCCGCUUACUGAGAUUAGUGAGUGUGCAGCACAUAGACAAUGUCUCUGUGGGUGAACACAGCAGAUGUAAAGCAGCUUGACUCUGGAGUCAAGUGAGAAAUAGUAAUUUGAGGAAGGAGAUAAAUUGGAUAAGAGGAAGCAACCAAUCCCAAUCUCAAAGUGCUGAACAUCCCUGUCAAAAUCACAGUUGUGUUUUCUCAGUGUACAGAUGUUAUUGGUGAGGAAGUACAAAAGUUAGGAUUCUCAAGGGAGAAGUGAGGAAAAUGUGAUUGAAGCCUUCGUGGUCAGCAAAGGUGUGAGAUAGAGCCUAGGAAAUGGUAAUUCCCAAUGUUUCAUGGAGAACUAGAUCAAAAUAAGUAGUUCUGUUCCAUACCAUCUGUAAUUCAAGGGUGGCCUUCAUUGCUGUGGGGCAAACAGGCAUGUGUACAUCCAUUAUCCAAGGCGAAGGUCACUAUGUGCUCCUCUUGCUUCUGUUCACUUCUCAUGCCCUGAGGGAGCUCCAGUUGCAUCACUUCUGUGUAGCCACAUUACAUUUGUCAUGACCUUUUACCUUUGUUCAUCACCUCUUCUGGUCUCAGGGCUAUCUCUGGCUUCUUCAGUACUCUUAUGAGUCAACCUUGAGAUAUGCUGAAUGGUUACCCACACAAAUGUUUAUAAAGUCAAUGGGGAACCUAUGCUUGCCUUAUGGAUAAAUAGGAGCUUUCAGCCUCUGGAUCUCUGAAAUAAAGCACAUGGCCUCAAAAGGCCCUCAAUCCAGUUGGUGGAAAAAUUCUCCACGGAACCUCAAUGAAGAAAAAUGUUUGAGAGCCUUGCAACAUGAAGAGGGGAAAAUUUCAGCCAGCCUGGUCUUGUAGAGGGAUUAAUUCUUCUUUAUAAAUUAGCCCCUUUGUACCUAUGAAACGUUUGAUCACAUUCCAAACUAUGGCAGUUAUUUGUGCCAACUGGGAAGCCAAAGAACAGAGGAAUGUCUGAUAUUUAAAUAUUUUACCAGGCUUUCUUCUAGGUUAAUAUUUUAUUAGCAGCAAAUAUACCUUUCUGUAAGAGUCUAAAUCUGCUUCUCACUGAGGUGAAAGCCAGACCACAGGUAGCCCUACAUUGAAGUUGUACAGCCAGCAGAGAGCACAAGAUCAGAGUUAUGGCAAGAGGAACAUCACUGGGUCUCUGAUAAGAUCAGCCAUGGAUACUGUGGAGUGAGCAGGAAGUCCCUUGAUCACGACACAUGUGGGACGGACAGAGGUGUAGAUGCCUCAUUGCAGUCUUAUCUGAGGACCAUGGCUCUUCUCCGCUCCCUCUUGGCACCCCAAGAUUAUCAGGAAGGAGCAGCUUCUCCAGAGUUGCCAGGGUAAAAAAUCCUGUCUAGCCCAGCAAGCUUCACCCUGCAUGGCUUCACACCAGGGAACAAGAAAGGAAUUCUUCUCUUUGAGACUCCAAAGGCUUCACCUAAAGCCACUUAAUGACCUUGCCUAGUCUGCCAUUGGUCCCACCCACCAGGGUUUAAGACAGAUGUUUUCUGCACUGCAGCUGUGAGGAGAGUUCAUACGUUCAAGUUUGCAAAGGAGUGAGGCCGCUGUGUCUGAAGUACAUCUGUUCCCAGUCAAAUGUUCAGCUGUGGCUGAGGGCAUGCAAAGCACUUCAGAGACAGUGCCUAUUAGGGCUAAUGGUCUAAUAAGAAACAAAGGCAUGUAAGUGGAUUUGUUCAUUUUAGGCAGAAUUCUCCUUAGUAGUCACAUUUGUUUUUAAAGUGACUUAAUUUUAAGACAUUUCUUGCGUGCUCUAAUUUGGACUGUAUUUAAGGGAAAUUAAGUAAACUAGUUGCUUCUGUCUCCUCAGCAAUGUUUUACAAUAUUGUCAAAGCUAUCAUGCUUUCUUACAAAAAUACCGCUAAAACAUUUUAGUACAAUUAAGUGCUGGGAUUCGUAUAAAUGAUACAUAUGAGAUUAAUCAUCUUUUUUUUUUUUAACUUGUCUAGAUGAAGACAUGGUAUCCAGCACUUCGCUCUUAGAUCAUUUUGCAACCAUGCCCUCUGAGCAGAACCAGUCUUUAAUCAAAUGCCUUUCAUUGUUUUUUUAGAGAAAAUAUGUCUUUCUGUAUCACUGGCUUUUGAAAGAUGAGAAAAAUAAAUGAAUUUCUCUGUGCGCUUGGGAGUCAUUGCCUUUGUCUAAUAUUCACAGAAUACAAAUUUCCUCCCAGUGAUGUAAAGAAGGAUUUUGUGAUCCUCCUUCUCUGUGCUCCAGCCAGUCUAUAUUGCUCUAAUUUUGAGUUUUGGCAAGGGCUUCUGCAAACCUGACAGAAGUUUUGCCCUGUGACUCCAGCCACAAAAGAAUAUGAGAGCAUUCUGACGCCUUCAUAGCAACAAGCCAUGGGACAAUGCACGCAGCAGUGUGAGGCAGUAAGAAUAGGAAGAUGUUGGGCACGUAGCAAUGUAUUUUUGCAUAUAUACAAAUAAACUUGUGAUGGGGGAGGAGAAGAGUUUAGGAAAGAUUUCCUUCAGCUAGAGCUGUACUUUUAACUAAAUCUCUCUAUAUAUCAUGGUAGAAAAAGAGCAUGUCACAAAGCCAAAUUGAUCAAGUAGCUGUUAAGCCAUUUAACAUAUCGAAAAUAUUUUUCCCCUCCAAGUCAUAGAAUCAUAGAAUCAUAGAAUGGCGUGGCUUAGAAGGGACCUCAAGGAUCAUCAAAUUCCAGCUUCCUCACCACAGCCAGGGUUGCCAACUGCUAGAUCAAGUACUAGAUCAGAUUACCCAGGGCCCC